GAUGAACGCUGGCGGCGUGCCUAAUACAUGCAAGUCGAGCGAACGGACGAGAAGCUUGCUUCUCUGAUGUUAGCGGCGGACGGGUGAGUAACACGUGGAUAACCUACCUAUAAGACUGGGAUAACUUCGGGAAACCGGAGCUAAUACCGGAUAAUAUUUUGAACCGCAUGGUUCAAAAGUGAAAGACGGUCUUGCUGUUACUUAUAGAUGGAUCCGCGCUGCAUUAGCUAGUUGGUAAGGUAACGGCUUACCAAGGCAACGAUGCAUAGCCGACCUGAGAGGGGGAUCGGCCAACCUGGACCUGAGACACGGUCCAGCCUCCUACGGGAGGCAGCGGUAGGGAAUCUGCAGAAAUGGGCGAAAGCCUGACGGAGCAACGCGGGGUGGGUGAUGAAGGUCUUCGGAUCUUAAAACGCUGUUAUUAGGGAAGAACAUAUGUGGAAGUAACUGUGCACAUCUGGAGGGUACCAAAUCAGAAGGCCACGCCUAACUACGU
RNAcentral lists this ribosomal RNA (496 nucleotides) under uncultured bacterium. Its description in RNAcentral is "partial 16S ribosomal RNA". It matches the Rfam family "Bacterial small subunit ribosomal RNA", at positions 28 to 506 of the family's 1533-position model. The record is from RNAcentral.